CUGGGUUGGAACUACAUGUAAUUAGAAAAGACAAAGAAAAAUUCCGCUCCGUGCGCAAAAUUCCGCCUAGUGCAAAGCCGGCUUUAGGAACGCAGGAGAUGGGAAACUAUAAAGUCUAAUAUAGAGGCAUCUUGGCGUUGUUUAUAGACAUAAUGUUAUAACAUUUACCAAUUGAAAAGCGACUUUGCAUUAUUAAUAUAAUAAAUUAAUAAAUACCUCAUCAUCGCCAUCUUCAUAGCCUUCUGUGGCUGGCUCAUCUGUGUCUGGUUCAUAUGUCUUUUCCUCGAUUAGAUCUUUAACUUCACCAUAAUAUGGGAAUGAAAUACGUUGCGCAUUUGCGCAAAACACCACGCAAGCGAAAAGCGUUAUAACGGCGAGAGAUCUCAUGACUGGCUUCGAUAUAUUUGAUAAUUUUCUUUGAUAAAAUGUUCUCAUAGUCGCGUGUCGUGUUUCGUGGUACGCUGUACGAAAAAGACUCCAUUGUUGGCAUUGAGAUUACUCUAUUAUUCAGAUUAAAAAUUCCAUCUUUAAAUUCAGUAUUUGACUGACAAGAAUUGAGUUUUUAAUACAAUUAAAAUAUUACUGCAAAAUGUUUGCCGACUCUAUCACCCUUUCUGUUUCUCAAAU
Non-coding RNA from Paramuricea clavata, 627 nucleotides. Lineage: Eukaryota; Metazoa; Cnidaria; Anthozoa; Malacalcyonacea; Plexauridae. The record is from the annotation of a GenBank genome assembly.